AGUUCGAUUCUGGCUCAGAUUGAACGCUGGCGGGAUGCUUUACACAUGCAAGUCGAACGGCAGCACGGACUUCGGUCUGGUGGCGAGUGGCGAACGGGUGAGUAAUGUAUCGGAACGCCUAGUAGCGGGGAUAACUACGCGAAAGCGUAGCUAAUAUUACCGCAUACGCCCUUCGGGGGAAAGCGGGGACCUUCGGGCCUCGCACUAUUAGAGCGGCCGAUAUCGGAUUGGCUAGUUGGCGGGGUAACGGCUCACCAAGGCGACGAUCCGUAGCUGGUUUGAGAGGACGACCAGCCACACUGGGACUUCGAGACACGGCCCAGACUCCUACGGGAGGCAGCAGUGGGGAAUUUUGGACAAUGGGGGAAACCCUUGAUCCAGCCAUCCUGCGUGUGCGAUGAAGGCCUUCGGGUUGUAAAGCACCUCUUUUGGCAGGGAAAGAAACGGCACGGGAUAAUACCCCGUGCAACUGACGGUACCUGCAGAAUAAGCACCGGCUAACUACGUGCCAGCAGCCGCGGUAAUACGUAGGUGCAAGCGUUAAUCGGAAUUACUGGGCGUAAAGCGUGCGCAGGCGGUUCGGAAGAAAGAUGUGAAAUCCCAGAGCUUAACUUUGGAACUGCAUUUUUAACUACUGAGCUAGAGUGUGUCAGAGGAGGUGGAAUUCGCGUAGCAGUGAAAUGCGUAGAUAUGCGGAGGAACACCGAUGGCGAAGGCAGCCUCCUGGGAUAACACUGACGUCAUGCACGAAAGCGUGGGGAGCAAACAGGAUUAGAUACCCUGGUAGUCCACGCUCUAAACGAUGUCAACUAGUUGCUGGGGCCUCCUGGGCCUUUCGGUAGCGCAGCUAACGCGUGAAGUUGACCGUCUGGGGAGUACGGUCGCAAGAUUAAAACUCAAAGGAAUUGACGGGGACCCGCACAAGCGGUGGAUGAUGUGGAUUGACCGAUGCAACGCGAAAACUCAUCUACCCUGACAUGUCUGGAAUCCUGAAGAGAUUUGGGGAGUUUCAGUAAGAGAACCGGAACACAGGUGCUGUAUGGCUGUCGUCAGCUCGUGUCGUGAGAUGUUGGGUUAAGUCCCGCAACGAGCGCAACCCUUGUCAUUAGUUGCUACGAAAGGGCACUUCCACGAGACUGCCGGUGACAAACCGGAGGAAGGUGGGGAUGACGUCAAGUCCUCAUGGCCCUUAUGGGUAGGGCUUCACACGUCACGCACGGUCGGGACAGGGAAGUCGCUAACCCGCGAGGGGGAGCCAAUCCCAGAAACCCGAUCGUAGUCCGGAUCGCAGUCUGCAACUCGACUGCGUGAAGUCGGAAUCGCUGUAAUCGCGGAUCAGCAUGUCGCGGUGAAUACGUUCCCGGGUCUUGUACACACCGCCCGUCACACCAUGGGAGUGGGUUUUACCAGAAGUAGUUAGCCUAACCGUAAGGAGGGCGAUUACCACGGUAGGAUUCAUGACUGGGGUGAAGUCGUAACAAGGUAA
Molecule: ribosomal RNA, 1486 nt
Filed under: uncultured Bordetella sp.
Lineage: Bacteria; Pseudomonadati; Pseudomonadota; Betaproteobacteria; Burkholderiales; Alcaligenaceae
Description: partial 16S-23S ribosomal RNA intergenic spacer
Rfam family: Bacterial small subunit ribosomal RNA
Source: RNAcentral